This 252-nucleotide ribosomal RNA is filed under the name Escherichia marmotae. Its description in RNAcentral is "partial 23S ribosomal RNA". It matches the Rfam family "Bacterial large subunit ribosomal RNA", at positions 12 to 264 of the family's 2925-position model. Lineage: Bacteria; Pseudomonadati; Pseudomonadota; Gammaproteobacteria; Enterobacterales; Enterobacteriaceae. The record is from RNAcentral.
UAAGCGUACACGGUGGAUGCCCUGGCAGUCAGAGGCGAUGAAGGACGUGCUAAUCUGCGAUAAGCGUCGGUAAGGUGAUAUGAACCGUUAUAACCGGCGAUUUCCGAAUGGGGAAACCCAGUGUGAUCCGUCACACUAUCAUUAACUGAAUCCAUAGGUUAAUGAGGCGAACCGGGGGAACUGAAACAUCUAAGUACCCCGAGGAAAAGAAAUCAACCGAGAUUCCCCCAGUAGCGGCGAGCGAACGGGGAG